CGGCGUUCCACUCUCAUUUAUCGAACCCUAUGCUGAGCUUCUGAAGCCCUAGCGAGCGAUGGCUUCACGCAGACUUUUAUCUUCUCUUCUCCGAUCGUCGGCACGGCGGUUAUCUUCCAGAUCCCCGAUCUCAUCCCCCAACCCCAGGAUUCCAUUGUCUCACACUUCUCGCGCUUCCCCUUAUGGUUACCUCCUCAACCGUGUGGCUCAGUACGCCACCUCCGCCGCCGCGGCUUCACCACCGUCCCCACCGUCAUCCGCUAAGCCGGACGCGGGAAAGAGCGGUAAGAUCACCGACGAGUUCACUGGAGCCGGCGCGAUCGGCCAGGUUUGUCAGGUGAUUGGAGCCGUCGUCGAUGUCAGAUUCGAUGAAGGGUUACCUCCAAUUCUUACGGCGCUCGAGGUACUUGAUCACUCGAUCCGUUUGGUGCUGGAGGUGGCGCAGCAUUUGGGAGAGAAUAUGGUCAGGACUAUUGCUAUGGAUGGGACGGAAGGGCUCGUUCGAGGGCAGAAAGUGCUCAACACUGGUUCUCCCAUCACUGUUCCAGUUGGUAGAGCUACUCUUGGACGUAUUAUAAAUGUCAUUGGAGAGCCUAUUGAUGAGAAAGGCGACCUUAAGACCGACCAUUAUUUGCCUAUUCACAGAGAAGCCCCCGCCUUUGUUGAGCAAGCAACUGAGCAGCAAAUUCUCGUAACUGGUAUUAAGGUUGUUGACCUUCUUGCUCCAUAUCAAAGAGGAGGAAAGAUUGGGCUUUUUGGU
This 760-nucleotide unclassified non-coding RNA is filed under the name Hevea brasiliensis (rubber tree). Lineage: Eukaryota; Viridiplantae; Streptophyta; Magnoliopsida; Malpighiales; Euphorbiaceae. The record is from RNAcentral.